GUGACCUGCGGAAGGAUCAUUACCGAGUGAGGGCCCUCUGGGUCCAACCUCCCACCCGUGUUGCACGAACCUGUGUUGCUUCGGCGGGCCCGCCGCCAGGCCGCCGGGGGGCAUCCGCCCCCGGGCCCGCGCCCGCCGAAGCCCCCCUCUGAACGCUGUCUGAAGUUGCAGUCUGAGACAACUAGCUAAAUUAGUUAAAACUUUCAACAACGGAUCUCUUGGUUCCGGCAUCGAUGAAGAACGCAGCGAAAUGCGAUAACUAAUGUGAAUUGCAGAAUUCAGUGAAUCAUCGAGUCUUUGAACGCACAUUGCGCCCUCUGGUAUUCCGGAGGGCAUGCCUGUCCGAGCGUCAUUGCUGCCCUCAAGCACGGCUUGUGUGUUGGGCCCCGUCCCCCCCGCUCCGGGGGGGACGGGCCCGAAAGGCAGCGGCGGCACCGCGUCCGGUCCUCGAGCGUAUGGGGCUUCGUCACCCGCUCUUGUAGGCCCGGCCGGCGCCAGCCGACCCCCAACCUUUUAUUAUUUCUCAGGUUGACCUCGGAUCAGGUAGGGAUACCCGCUGAACUUAAGCAUAUCAAUAAGCGGAGGAAAAGAAACCAACCGGGAUUGCCCUAGUAACGGCGAGUGAAGCGGCAAGAGCUCAAAUUUGAAAGCUGGCUCCUUCGGGGUCCGCAUUGUAAUUUGCAGAGGAUGCUUCGGAAUCGGCCCCCAUCUAAGUGCCCUGGAACGGGCCGUCAUAGAGGGUGAGAAUCCCGUCUGGG
Molecule: ribosomal RNA, 758 nt
Filed under: fungal endophyte
Lineage: Eukaryota; Fungi
Description: eukaryotic LSU rRNA
Rfam family: Eukaryotic large subunit ribosomal RNA (bases 530-758)
Source: RNAcentral